Molecule: non-coding RNA, 72 nt
Organism: Clostridium sp. CAG:349
Lineage: Bacteria; Bacillati; Bacillota; Clostridia; Eubacteriales; Clostridiaceae
Source: Rfam
GCGGGAGUGAUUCAGUGGUAGAAUGCCACCUUGCCAAGGUGGAAGUCGCGGGUCCGAAUCCCGUCUCCCGCU